CCGAAAAUACAAUAAAACAAUUCUUUCAGGCUUUGGUUUACGUGUCGACGGCUUAUUGUAAUUGUCCGAGAUCUACCGUAAAAGAAGAGUUGUACGAUACGCCAAUUUCAGCAGAAAAACUUAUAACAAUUUCCCAGUCUCUCAAUGAAGCUACCCUUAAAAAAAUCACGCCCACGAUCCUAGGAGAAUGGCCGAACACCUACACCUUUA
Molecule: long non-coding RNA, 210 nt
Organism: Agrilus planipennis (emerald ash borer)
Lineage: Eukaryota; Metazoa; Arthropoda; Insecta; Coleoptera; Buprestidae
Exons: 2
Source: RefSeq, a predicted model, not a curated record